Non-coding RNA from Paramuricea clavata, 340 nucleotides. The record is from the annotation of a GenBank genome assembly. Lineage: Eukaryota; Metazoa; Cnidaria; Anthozoa; Malacalcyonacea; Plexauridae.
GGACCAUUUGCAUUAUAGACUAAAUUUUGAUCUAGACAAAAAUUUCAUCACAGCUUGAAAGAGCAUCACAAAAUUAGCAAUAUUCCAAAGUUUCGUUGCGAAAUGUUGUAAAAUGCGGAUAAUAUAGCCAUGCGAAGUUUGCCGUUUUUCAGUCAUUUUGUAUCACGCACGGGAAAUUGACAGCCCAAUCGGGUGUUGGGGCAUCAAUUUCCCGUUUGUAAUACAAAAUGACUGAAGAUUGCAAAUUUCGCAGGGCUAUAUUAUCCGGCGCAUUUUACAACAUUUCGCAACGAAACUUUGGAAUAUUACUAAUUUUGUGAUGCUCUUUCAAGCUGUGAUG